This 484-nucleotide ribosomal RNA is filed under the name uncultured bacterium. RNAcentral's name for it is "partial 16S ribosomal RNA". It matches the Rfam family "Bacterial small subunit ribosomal RNA", at positions 30 to 507 of the family's 1533-position model. The record is from RNAcentral.
AUUGAACGCUGGCGGCAGGCCUAACACAUGCAAGUCGAGCGGAUGAAGGGAGCUUGCUCCUGGAUUCAGCGGCGGACGGGUGAGUAAUGCCUAGGAAUCUGCCUGGUAGUGGGGGAUAACGUCCGGAAACGGGCGCUAAUACCGCAUACGUCCUGAGGGAGAAAGUGGGGGAUCUUCGGACCUCACGCUAUCAGAUGAGCCUAGGUCGGAUUAGCUAGUUGGUGGGGUAAAGGCCUACCAAGGCGACGGUCCGUAACUGGUCUGAGAGGAUGAUCAGUCACCCGGGAACUGAGAAACGGCCCAGACUCCUACGGGAGGCAGCAGUGGGGAAUAUUGGACGAUGGGCGAAAGCCUGAUCCAGCCAUGCCGCGUGUGUGAAGAAGGUCUUAGGAUUGUAAAGCACUUUAAGUUGGGAGGAAGGGCAGUAAGUUAAUACCUUGCUGUUUUGACGUUACCGACAGAAUAAGCACCGGCUAACUUCGUG